Dendrobium catenatum is the source of this 3022-nucleotide long non-coding RNA. RefSeq lists it as uncharacterized. The record is from RefSeq and is a predicted model, not a curated record. The transcript is spliced from 3 exons. NCBI's taxonomy places the organism in Eukaryota, Viridiplantae, Streptophyta, Magnoliopsida, Asparagales, Orchidaceae.
UAGCGGAUCUCGGAUCCAGAUCCGAGAAUCCGAGGGCUUUCCGUCAUCGUCUUCCUCGCGCGGUGCGCUGUCUCCAUCGAAGGGAUUUCGACGAUUACACCCGUGAGGAGAGGCGAUGCUGUGAGUUAUUGAUUUCAGCAGGAUCGUGAGCUCGAGGAGAACUAAGAUUUCUAUUCAGUUAUAAUCUCCGUGGUCAUUCACUUCAUAAAGGUAGGUUUUUUUUUCAAUGACAGAGCUAGUUGAUGAUUGAGCUUUGGUCUGAUAUUCCUUUAGUUUCUCCGGAGACCGACACCGCCGAACGAACUUGUCGAACUUCGCUCUUUACUUGCCCAAACGCCGCCGCAGGUAGAAUGGAGGCUGUGAAAAGAUCGAGGAAGCUCUGGUGAAUGUUUUCGGAUAAAACCUGGAGCUCUACGCACUGGAAUCAUCCACUCAUAUGGUGAUCUCAACCUACCUUAGGCAAUGCUGAGGGUUAGGUGUUUAUUUGAGCUCUCAAGCCAUUAGGGGAGAGCCUAUAGGAGUUUUCCAAUUGUCUAGGAACAUCCAGGAGGCAGGAGAUGGCCAGGAAGUCUUGGAGUGCUUAUACAACUUGGCACUUUUGGCUUGAGCAAAGGCUGGUUAUGGCCGUUGGAUCAACACUAGGCUCCAUUUGGUUGAGCCUUGGGAUCUUGGGAAAGAGCGUUGUAGACUCGAUUUGGGCUGGAAUCUGCAAGUUUGGUGGCCAAUGAAAGUCAGCAAAUACGUAAUUGCUAUAGUUCUGGCUUCUUCGUUUUGCUGAGUAGAGCUUGUCACCUAGUAAUGAAAAAAAAGUGAUACUUAGGAUGUUGUCAUGUGGAAAAUUGUUUGUGGUGAUGUGUCUGACUUCUAACAAUUUGAUAUGAACAAUUAUCAGGGAACUACCUUGCGUAUGGAUCGAAAUAUGAGGGGAGAUUUAUUGUAAGGAAUUGUUGAUACUGGAGAGUGAGACAAGAUUGUGAGCCAGAGGAUGUGGUGAUGACCGGCAAGGAGGAGUCUUGAAGGAGGUGCAUUGUGGUUUCUUUUUCAGUUCUUUGUGACAACACUUGAGGUCCCUACAUGUUGUCGCAGAAGCAUUCUUGUUACCUGAUAGAUGAACUGCAAGCCAAAUGUGAAUCACCCUUCUACAAGUAGGAACAACUUAUAUACAAUUCAGGAUACUUUGGAGUUAAAACAUUUUGAAAUGUUACUUAAGUAGAUCUAUAUUAAUGGAAUUGUGAUUCAGACUCUAUCUACUUAACUGUUAGAUACUCAUGCGUAUGUUCCUUGGGCUUUCUUUAUCUGAUACCAACGAGCUUAAGUUUGAUCGUUCUCAGCAACUGUUCAAGUUUUGCUGUAGAUGUAUGUGAUGCUUGCUUAACUAAAGUCCAACUUUAAAAGAAAACUUUUAACUUUGUGUAAAAAUAUCCCUUAAACUGAAAUUUUAUUACAAUUAUAUGAAAAUCUUAAUAAAAAAUGCUGAAGAUUAAUGGGCAUUUGACCUCAAAAAUUCCUAAAUGUUAUUUACACGUAAACCUCAAUAUCCUCGCAUGUUUUUCAUGAAAUUUCGUAUUUAAAUCCUUAAAAUCUAGUCAUUAGAUGAGAAGAAUAUGAUCCUUGUUUCUGAUAGUAAAAUAUUUCCAAGGGUGCCCAAGCAUGAUUAGAUGUUGCAGAUCAGUAUUUUCCUUCUAACAUUUUGUUUUCUUGUAGCUGAGGUUUAGGGUGUUUAGGGUCGGCCACAUAUAGCUAGGAAAGGCUUAUGAUAAUGAUGAGCAAAACAUGUUAAUUCAAAUACAUACCAGAAUACUCUGUUUUUAUUAGUCGUAAUUAUGUCUCAAACAUAGAUAUUGACUAUUAUUUUAGCAGAAAUAAAGAUUCUUUCAAAUGACUAGCAAACAAAUAUUUUCACUAAGUCUCUUGGAGGUCCUCAAAUAAACAUCUGUAACUAGCUUCGGACAAAUGACUUAUUUGCUUGCAAUUGAGUUGAAGUGCUGGAUAGAAUAGUUAUUUUGAAUAUUUCUAACUGUCAUUAGUUUGUUAUUGAAUUUCUUCCUUAUUUGGAACAAAAGAUAAUAAAAUAUUUUUUUCUCUUUAUUAAAUGCAUUUAACUGGCGGUAUGUACCAUGUUAAUAAGUUUUUGUCUUGUCAACUAGUGUCUUAAACAUGAAUGAAUUUCGAUUCAAUAUGUCUAAAGGCAUAUGUGUAUCUUCAAAUCUAUUUAAGGCUAGAAGUCGUCUGCUGGGAUCAAUCAAACCUCUUCUAUAUUGACUAAAUAAGAAGGUAAAAAAGAUUAGGUAGUCAUUCUUUUAAAAACACAAGGUAUCAAAACCUUAGCUAGAAAAUCAUAUUUAUUAUGAUCAAAUUUAUUCAUGCAUCAGGUAGUUCAUUGCCUUUAAUUGAAUCUACUUUAAUAUUUGCUGAAGAAUCAUAUGCUAAGUCUGGAAUUAAUGCUAAGAAGUCAAUUGGGAGAGCUGGUGGUGGAAUCAGGAAGAUGUUAUGAGUGUCUCCAGCCCAUGCCCACUAAAUUUUUUGAAAAGAAGUCAUACGUUCUAGGGGAUGGAAGUGUAAAACACCGUAACGAAACAAACAAGAAGUUAAAAGAAGCAAAAAGUAAAAUACACGAACGAGGAUUUAACGCGGAAAAAUCCGAAAUAGGAAAAAAAAAAAAACACAAAACAACACCACACCAAGAAAUCCACCAUGAAAAUUGGGAAAAAUAAGUAGAUAUCUCUCUUCUCUUUCACUCUUUCCUUCUCUCCUCUCUUGCAUUGCUCUCACAUUCAAAACAAAGAAAAAGACAAUAACACCAGGGGGUGUCACCAUUAAGAAAAAUGAGAAAGAAAAAGUGUCAAGUCCCCCCACAGCAUUGUGACGCUUAGACCCCUGAUCCCGAUUGUUUAUCGUUGCUGCAGUGCUCUAACCUGCAUCACUGCGGCACUCCAUAGCGCUGUGGCGCUGAAUCUAGAGUCAUUUUUUCCAAUAAACUUUGCAGCACUGUGACGCUCAGGAACACAAUGCCGUGGCACUC